UACGGAGGGUGCAAGCAUUGAUCGGAAUUAUUGGGCGUAAAGGGCGCGUAGGCGGCAAGAUAAGUCAGAUGUGAAAUCCCGGGGCUCAACCCCGGACCUGCAUUUGAAACUAUCUAGCUAGAGUAUAGUUAGGGAAAACGGAAUUCCACGUGUAGCGGUGAAAUGCGUAGAUAUGUGGAAGAACACCGGUGGUGAAGACGGUUUUCUAGGCUAAAACUGACGCUGAGGCGCGAAAGCUAGGGGAGCAAACAGG
RNAcentral lists this ribosomal RNA (253 nucleotides) under uncultured bacterium. Its description in RNAcentral is "partial 16S ribosomal RNA". It matches the Rfam family "Bacterial small subunit ribosomal RNA", at positions 524 to 776 of the family's 1533-position model. The record is from RNAcentral.